AAGCGUCAACAUGCUGUCGGUGACGAUCAUUA
RNAcentral lists this ribosomal RNA (32 nucleotides) under uncultured Cortinarius. RNAcentral describes it as "partial 18S ribosomal RNA". The record is from RNAcentral. Lineage: Eukaryota; Fungi; Basidiomycota; Agaricomycetes; Agaricales; Cortinariaceae.